UGCAAGUCGAACGUGAAAGUAGCAAUACGAGUAAAGUGGCGUACGGGUGAGUAACACGUAGGUAAUCUACCUGAUUGUCUGGAAUAACCGGCCGAAAGGCUGGCUAAUACUGGAUAGAGCGACGGAAUCCGUAAUUGGGUUUUUCGGGAAAGGGAGCUCGCAAGAGCCUUCGCAGUCAGAUGAGCCUGCGUCUCAUUAGCUAGUUGGUGGGGUAAUGGCCCACCAAGGCUUUGAUGGGUAGCUGGUCUGAGAGGAUGAUCAGCCACACUGGAACUGAAACACGGUCCAGACUCCUACGGGAGGCAGCAGUGGGGAAUCUUGCGCAAUGGACGAAAGUCUGACGCAGCCACGCCGCGUGAGUGAAGAAGGCCUUCGGGUUGUAAAGCUCUGUCGGGCGGGACGAAAAUCUUUAAGGUUAAUAGCCUUAGAGACUGACGGUACCGCCAAAGGAAGCACCGGCUAACUUCGUGCCAGCAGCCGCGGUAAUACGAAGGGUGCGAGCGUUGCUCGGAAUUAUUGGGCGUAAAGGGUAGGUAGGUUGUCUCAUUUGUCUGGGGUGAAAGCCUUGAGCUUAACUCAAGAAGUGCCCCAGAAACGGUGAGACUAGAAUCUGUGAGAGGGUCGUGGAAUUCCCGGUGUAGCGGUGAAAUGCGUAGAGAUCGGGAGGAACACCAGAGGCGAAGGCGGCGACCUGGAACAGUAUUGACACUCAACUACGAAAGCGUGGGUAGCAAACAGGAUUAGAUACCCUGGUAGUCCACGCCGUA
This 767-nucleotide ribosomal RNA is filed under the name uncultured delta proteobacterium. Its description in RNAcentral is "bacterial SSU rRNA". It matches the Rfam family "Bacterial small subunit ribosomal RNA", at positions 56 to 804 of the family's 1533-position model. Lineage: Bacteria; Deltaproteobacteria. The record is from RNAcentral.